Molecule: ribosomal RNA, 497 nt
Filed under: uncultured bacterium
Lineage: Bacteria
Description: partial 16S ribosomal RNA
Rfam family: Bacterial small subunit ribosomal RNA
Source: RNAcentral
GAUGAACGCUGGCGGCGUGCCUAAUACAUGCAAGUCGAGCGAACAGACGAGGAGCUUGCUCCUCUGACGUUAGCGGCGGACGUGUGAGUAACACGUGGAUAACCUACCUAUAAUACUGGGAUAACUUCGGGAAACCGGAUCUAAUCCCGGAUAAUAUAUUGAACCGCAUGGUUCAAUAGUGAAAGACGGUUUUGCUGUCACUUAUCGAUGGUUCCGCGCCGCAUUAGCUAGUUGGUAAGGUAACGGCUUACCAAGGCAACGAUGCGUAGCCGACCUGAGAGGGGGAUCGGCCACACGGGAACUGAGACACGGACCAGACUCCUACGGGAGGCAGCAGAAGGGAAUGGUCCGCAAUGGGCGAAAGCCUGACGGAGCAACGCCGCGUGAGUGAUGAAGGUCUUCGGAUCGUAAAACUCUGUUAUGAGGGAAGAACAAAUGUGUAAGUAAAUAUGCACGUCUUGACGGUACCUAAUCAGAAAGCAACGGCUAACUACGUG